Molecule: long non-coding RNA, 255 nt
Filed under: Phoenix dactylifera (date palm)
Lineage: Eukaryota; Viridiplantae; Streptophyta; Magnoliopsida; Arecales; Arecaceae
Description: long non-coding RNA (PDAC_LNC007875)
Source: RNAcentral
AUAAAUGCAAAGCUCACAUAUAUCAUUCCCUUCUUUUCAACUACUGGAAUCAGACCUCUCUUUUCGAGUUCCGUAAGCCUCCUGUCGCUCAUAUGACCCAUCCGAUAGUGUCACAGUUUGUAGACCAACUGCUUCUCUUGUACUGCCGCCAACACCUCUGCACCAUCUGUCACCACUGAGCCUUCCAUCUCAUAGAAAUUAUUAUUCAAUCUUCUGCCCUUCAUCACCACCAAAACUUCCUUGGUGAUCCUCAAA